This 232-nucleotide ribosomal RNA is filed under the name Rhizophagus intraradices. Lineage: Eukaryota; Fungi; Glomeromycota; Glomeromycetes; Glomerales; Glomeraceae. The record is from RNAcentral.
CAGUCUUACCUGCGGAUAAUCAGCUUUUUGAGUGUGAUUAUGUGGUUUAUGAGGAGUUUAACCGCCUUCAUGUAUUGCAUAUUUGUGCUCUUGGGUGUACUUGUCUGUGUGGUUAGUUAACAUCAAUUUUGGUUAUCAUAAAAUGGCUGGAGGAAUGUAGCUUCGAUCUCGUAUUGAAGUGUUAUAGUCUUCCGGCGGAUGUGAUGAUCGGGAUUGAGGAUUGCAACGGAUA